Molecule: transfer RNA, 73 nt
Filed under: Stegodyphus mimosarum
Lineage: Eukaryota; Metazoa; Arthropoda; Arachnida; Araneae; Eresidae
Rfam family: tRNA
About the family: Transfer RNA (tRNA) molecules are approximately 80 nucleotides in length. Their secondary structure includes four short double-helical elements and three loops (D, anti-codon, and T loops). Further hydrogen bonds mediate the characteristic L-shaped molecular structure. tRNAs have two regions of fundamental functional importance: the anti-codon, which is responsible for specific mRNA codon recognition, and the 3' end, to which the tRNAs corresponding amino acid is attached (by aminoacyl-tRNA synthetases). tRNAs cope with the degeneracy of the genetic code in two manners: having more than one tRNA (with a specific anti-codon) for a particular amino acid; and 'wobble' base-pairing, i.e. permitting non-standard base-pairing at the 3rd anti-codon position.
Source: Rfam by way of RNAcentral
GCCUUCGUGGUGUAAUGGUCAUCACACUGAGCCGGUAUUUCAGAGGUCCGCGGUUCGAUCCCCGGCGAAGGCA